UUACUUUCUUCUCUCUCCUCUCUUCCCAUAGGCUCGUAUUAUAUUUGAUAAAGCUACUAAGGUUCAGUUUAAAUCAGUUGAUGAUUUAGCUAAUGUUUGGUGUGAGUAUGCUGAAAUGGAGCUCAGGCAUGAAAAUUAUGACAGAGCUUUAGGUAAAAUAAUGUUGGAUGAUGAUGAAAAUGUUCUAAUUCCUGUACUUAUGACAAUUCCUGUUUUUAUUUAUUUGUCUUUUAAAUUAAUAUUUGUACACACGCCCACUAGAGCCACAGAGCCGACUUUUAAAUUAACAUUUUUACACAC
Molecule: long non-coding RNA, 300 nt
Organism: Amphimedon queenslandica
Lineage: Eukaryota; Metazoa; Porifera; Demospongiae; Haplosclerida; Niphatidae
Exons: 2
Source: RefSeq, a predicted model, not a curated record